GCGUAGGUGAGAAUGCUUGGCGGGGAGGAUGCCUUCGUGUCAGUCCUGCAGCUUCCUGAUGCCACAGCACACCUGGCGGAACUGGGGGCAGGCGGGCAGGCUGGGCGGUCAACGACGCAGCAGGAAGGAAUGCAGGGCGGGAUGGGGCAGGGCCGUGACCCGAGGCCCGUGAGUCCUGGGGGCCGUCCCUCUUCUGCGUGGGGACGGAUGGACCAGGGCUGCGAGCAGCUCCAACACGGAAACACUGGGGUGUUUUCCCAGAGACGCCGCCCACGUUGAGGAAAUGACAGGCCCUCUGUACAGAAGCUGCCGAGGCCCCGGGCUUCACCCCAGGAGGCAGAAACAGUUCAGAAGUCAUACUUUGAAGCGGAAGGAUCACAGGCAGAAAUCAGCACAAGCUGAGGCCCAGGACUUGAAAGAAGUCUGGGUGUUGUCUGGGACCACGUCCCAACGCUGAGCACACUCUCCUGGCCAGUGGACCCCCAGAUGCCACCCUUCCUGCCAGCAGAGAGCAGAGGCGACCGGCUGCGUCCCUCGUGGAGAAGGCGCCGCGGCCUCCCGUGUGACUCAGCGUCUCCCCAGGCGCUGCCGGCUGCCGGCUGCCACCUGGAGGAGCAGGGACAGCUCCCACUCCAGCUCCUCCGCUCUCCGGGCCAGCCAGGCUCUCCUCAGCUCCAGCGCCAGGGCCUGGUGGCUCUGCAGGGCCCAGGAUACCAGGUUCUCUCCACCGGGGCCACCUGCCUCUCCUGGGCCCGGUCUGUCUUCCUGCCGCACAGGCGGGCGGGUGCCGGGAACCACCUGAAAAGCACGCAGAUGGAAGGAGCGACGGGGCCCUGCGGGUGCCGAGCCCACCCUGUGGCGCGCCGGGACCCCGGUCACGCUGCCUGUCUCCGGGCAGCACCCGGCCGAGUGCUUGGGAAGAUGCCAGCAGGGUACAUCCAGGUACUGGCUUCACGCUUGGUGAGGAAGGACAGUGUCGCUGAGUUUAUGUUGCCACGUUCACGCGCAACAACAACUAAUUAUUUUAUUACACAACCAUCGCGUUGAAUAACUUGGAACAAUUAUUGAAUAAUUAAAUCUUUUU
This is a long non-coding RNA of Hippopotamus amphibius kiboko, 1084 nucleotides long. RefSeq lists it as uncharacterized. The record is from RefSeq and is a predicted model, not a curated record. The transcript has 3 exons. Lineage: Eukaryota; Metazoa; Chordata; Mammalia; Artiodactyla; Hippopotamidae.